Molecule: ribosomal RNA, 326 nt
Filed under: uncultured eukaryote
Lineage: Eukaryota
Description: partial 18S ribosomal RNA
Rfam family: Eukaryotic small subunit ribosomal RNA
Source: RNAcentral
CCCUUAGAUGUUCUGGGCCGCACGCGCGCUACACUGAUGCAUUCAACGAGUUCCUACCUUGGCCGAGAGGCCUGGGCAAUCUUUUGAACUUGCAUCGUGAUAGGGAUAGAUUAUUGCAAUUAUUAAUCUUGAACGAGGAAUUCCUAGUAAACGCAGAUCAUCAAUCUGCAUUGAUUACGUCCCUGCCCUUUGUACACACCGCCCGUCGCACCUACCGAUUGAAUGGUCCGGUGAAGCCUCGGGAUUGUGGUUAGUUUCCUUCAUUGGAAGUUAGCCGCGAGGACUUGUCUAAACCUUAUCAUUUAGAGGAAGGUGAAGUCGUAACA